This 81-nucleotide non-coding RNA is filed under the name human gut metagenome. RNAcentral describes it as "NiCo riboswitch". It matches the Rfam family "NiCo (Nickel/Cobalt) riboswitch aptamer". The record is from RNAcentral.
ACAGUACAAACUGAGCAGGCCGAAACUUUGUUUUGUGAGCCGGGUCACAUAUGUGACAGUGGAUUACAUCCGCGGGACAGU